GUGACUGGCUAUAACAUCUGUCACCCCAUUGAUUGCUGGGAUUGAUCCGGGAGAUCUGGCUGUCUGGGUGGUAUCCUCCUCCUC
Molecule: small RNA, 84 nt
Filed under: Mus pahari (shrew mouse)
Lineage: Eukaryota; Metazoa; Chordata; Mammalia; Rodentia; Muridae
Description: sRNA (MGP_PahariEiJ_G0007962.1)
Rfam family: 7SK RNA
About the family: 7SK was discovered as an abundant small nuclear RNA in the mid-70s but a possible function has only recently been suggested.
Source: RNAcentral